GUGGGGAAUUUUGGACAAUGGGCGAAAGCCUGAUCCAGCAAUGCCGCGUGCAGGAUGAAGGCCUUCGGGUUGUAAACUGCUUUUGUACGGAACGAAACGGUCCUGGUUAAUACCCGGGGCUAAUGACGGUACCGUAAGAAUAAGCACCGGCUAACUACGUGCCAGCAGCCGCGGUAAUACGUAGGGUGCAAGCGUUAAUCGGAAUUACUGGGCGUAAAGCGUGCGCAGGCGGUGCUGUAAGACAGGCGUGAAAUCCCCGGGCUUAACCUGGGAAUUGCGCUUGUGACUGCAGUGCUGGAGUGCGGCAGAGGGGGAUGGAAUUCCGCGUGUAGCAGUGAAAUGCGUAGAUAUGCGGAGGAACACCGAUGGCGAAGGCAAUCCCCUGGGCCUGCACUGACGCUCAUGCACGAAAGCGUGGGGAGCAAACAGGAUUAGAAACCCGGGUAGUCC
This 450-nucleotide ribosomal RNA is filed under the name uncultured bacterium. RNAcentral describes it as "partial 16S ribosomal RNA". It matches the Rfam family "Bacterial small subunit ribosomal RNA", at positions 354 to 796 of the family's 1533-position model. The record is from RNAcentral.